UACGUAGGGUGCAAGCGUUGUCCGGAAUUAUUGGGCGUAAAGAGCUUGUAGGCGGUUUGUCGCGUCUGCUGUGAAAAUCCGGGGCUCAACCCCGGACUUGCAGUGGGUACGGGCAGGCUAGAGUGUGGUGGGGGAGACUGGAAUUCCUGGUGUAGCGGUGGAAUGCGCAGAUAUCAGGAGGAACACCGAUGGCGAAGGCAGGUCUCUGGGCCACUACUGACGCUGAGAAGCGAAAGCAUGGGGAGCGAACAGG
This 253-nucleotide ribosomal RNA is filed under the name uncultured bacterium. Its description in RNAcentral is "partial 16S ribosomal RNA". It matches the Rfam family "Bacterial small subunit ribosomal RNA", at positions 524 to 776 of the family's 1533-position model. The record is from RNAcentral.